GGAAUAUUGGGCAAUGGAGGGAACUCUGACCCAGCGACGCCGCGUGCGGGAUGAAGGCCUUCGGGUUGUAAACCGCUUUCAGCAAGGAGGAAGCGAAAGUGACGGUACUUGCAGAAGAAGCACCGGCUAACUAUGUGCCAGCAGCCGCGGUAAUACAUAGGGUGCAAGCGUUGUCCGGAAUUAUUGGGCGUAAAGAGCUCGUAGGUGGUUUGAUACGUCGGGUGUGAAAUUCAGGGGCUCAACCCCUGACCUGCAUUCGAUACGGUCAAGCUAGAGUUUGGUAGGGGAGACUGGAAUUCCUGGUGUAGCGGUGGAAUGCGCAGAUAUCAGGAGGAACACCGAUGGCGAAGGCAGGUCUCUGGGCCAAUACUGACACUGAGGAGCGAAAGCGUGGGGAGCGAACAGGAUUAGAUACCCUGGUAGUCCACGCCGUAAACGGUGGGCGCUAGUUGUGCGAACCUUCCACGGUUUGUGCGGCGCAGCUAACGCAUUAAGCGCCCCGCCUGGGGAGUACGAUCGCAAGAUUAAAACUCAACGGAAUUGACGG
Molecule: ribosomal RNA, 547 nt
Filed under: uncultured bacterium
Lineage: Bacteria
Description: bacterial SSU rRNA
Rfam family: Bacterial small subunit ribosomal RNA
Source: RNAcentral